UUAAAGAGUAAGGGUGCUCAGCGCCCGACCUCCAACCCUUUGUUGUUAAAACUACCUUGUUGCUUUGGCGGGACCGCUCGGUCUCGAGCCGCUGGGGAUUCGUCCCAG
Molecule: ribosomal RNA, 108 nt
Filed under: Aureobasidium sp. E1
Lineage: Eukaryota; Fungi; Ascomycota; Dothideomycetes; Dothideales; Saccotheciaceae
Description: partial 5.8S ribosomal RNA
Source: RNAcentral